UCCUGUGUAGCCAGCUCCC
Molecule: unclassified non-coding RNA, 19 nt
Filed under: Mus musculus (house mouse)
Lineage: Eukaryota; Metazoa; Chordata; Mammalia; Rodentia; Muridae
Description: oocyte_clustered_small_RNA8495
Source: RNAcentral